GUGCUCGCUUCGGCAGCACAUAUACUAAAAUUGGAACGAUACAAAGAAGAUUAUCAUGGCCCACGCGCAAGGAUGACACGCAAAUUCCUGAAGCAUUCCACAUUUUU
RNAcentral lists this small nuclear RNA (107 nucleotides) under Octodon degus (degu). Lineage: Eukaryota; Metazoa; Chordata; Mammalia; Rodentia; Octodontidae. The record is from RNAcentral.